This 305-nucleotide ribosomal RNA is filed under the name uncultured bacterium. Its description in RNAcentral is "bacterial SSU rRNA". It matches the Rfam family "Bacterial small subunit ribosomal RNA", at positions 338 to 659 of the family's 1533-position model. The record is from RNAcentral.
CCUACGGGGGGCAGCAGUGGGGAAUAUUGCACAAUGGGGGGAACCCUGAUGCAGCGACGCCGCGUGGGUGAAGGAGUAUUUCGGUAUGUAAAGCCCUAUCAGCAGGGAAGAACAAUGACGGUACCUGACUAAGAAGCACCGGCUAAAUACGUGCCAGCAGCCGCGGUAAUACAUAGGGAGCAAGCGUUAUCCGGAUUUAUUGGGUGUAAAGGGUGCGUAGACGGGAAAUUAAGUUAGUUGUGAAAUCCCUCGGCUUAACUGAGGAACUGCAACUAAAAUUGAUUUUCUUGAGUACUGGAGAGGAA